RNAcentral lists this long non-coding RNA (261 nucleotides) under Carica papaya (papaya). Its description in RNAcentral is "long non-coding RNA (CPAP_LNC011383)". The record is from RNAcentral. Lineage: Eukaryota; Viridiplantae; Streptophyta; Magnoliopsida; Brassicales; Caricaceae.
AAACAAAAAAUCACCUCCGAUGAGCCCUUUUUCGUUUCCUGUUUCAUUCAAUUUUUCUACCAUUGUAUUCACUAUUUUAUUUUUUAUAGGUUGGCCGAAGAGAAACACCCAGCCGCGAAGGUGAACGGGUGGAGCUGUCGCAUUAAAAAAUUCUGCAGCUGGGAAAAAUUUAUUUUUGGCUUUUUUCCUAUAAAUUGAGGCUCUUAACAUGUUUUCUUGUAGGGAUGAGUAUAAAAUCGGCCAAAAUCGACCAAAACUUGU